AUGGGUGCCAGGCUCCUGCCCUGGGUGCUGCUCUGCCUCCUGGGAGCAGGCCCAGCAGAGGCUGGAGUCACCCAAACUCCAAGACACCUGAUCAAAGCAAGAGGACAGCAAGUGACAUUGAGGUGUUCCCCUGUCCCUGGGCACAACAGAGUGUACUGGUAUAAACAGGCCCUGGGUCAGGGCCUCCAGUUCCUCAUUGAGUAUUAUGAGGGGGCAGAGGGAGAAAAAGGAGACUUCCCUGAUCGAUUCUCAGGUCACCAGUCCCAUGACUAUCACUCUGGGCUGAACGUGAGCGCCUUGAAGCUGGAGGAUUCAGCUCUGUAUCUCUGUGCCACACUGCUGGUUCUGUGCCACCAACAUUCUGUGCACAAACUUCCUGGUUCAACUCUGAUGCCACAGCUGCAGGCUCAAGCCAAGUUUCACUCCUUCAAGGCUUUGGGUUGUUUCAAAGGCAUUUCCUGUGUCCAGCUCAGCUAA
Molecule: non-coding RNA, 477 nt
Organism: Otolemur garnettii (small-eared galago)
Lineage: Eukaryota; Metazoa; Chordata; Mammalia; Primates; Galagidae
Source: the annotation of a RefSeq genome assembly